This 242-nucleotide ribosomal RNA is filed under the name uncultured bacterium. RNAcentral's name for it is "partial 16S ribosomal RNA". The record is from RNAcentral.
CUGCUGCCUCCCGUAGGAGUCUGGGCCGUGUCUCAGUCCCAAUGUGGCCGUUCAACCUCUCAGUCCGGCUACUGAUCGUCGCUUUGGUGGGCCGUUACCCCGCCAACUGGCUAAUCAGACGCGAGCUCAUCUUUGGACGAUAAAUCUUUGGCAGCAAAAUCAUGCGACCCCGCUGCAUCAUGCGGUAUUAGCAGUCGUUUCCGGCUGUUAUCCCCCACCAAAGGCAGAUUGCUCACGCGUUA